Molecule: non-coding RNA, 505 nt
Organism: Labrus bergylta (ballan wrasse)
Lineage: Eukaryota; Metazoa; Chordata; Actinopteri; Labriformes; Labridae
Source: RefSeq, a predicted model, not a curated record
GACCUCAUGACGUUUUCGCGGGGUUAAGGUAAAGUGGAUAGUGAAAGGAGAUAGGAGGGACAAUUCAGAUGCACUGCUGUUGGUACAGGCUAACAGACAUUUUAAUUCAUUUAUAGAAGCAGUCAGUCUACCAAAAGAAAACAAAAUGAGGGAAAUUGUGCCCAUACAGGUCGGUCAAUGCGGGAAUUAGAUUGGUACCAAGAUUUGGCAUCACAUGUUCCAGCAGCUGGAGCGGCUUUGUGUCCCGCUUUGGAGCGAAGCAGGACUUGGAGAGCCAGGUGAACAAGGUGUGCUGUUGGACUCUGCUGGCCUUGGCUGUGAGCAUCCUCACCUACUGCGUUUGGAAGAGAGUGGUUUAGCCAACACUGCCACAAGAACAUGAUGGCUGCCUGCGACCCACGUCACGGCUGCACGACUUGAUGUUCCAACCAAGUGUUUUCCAGUUUUCAGUGUUUUCCAGUUUUUAGUGUUUUCCAGUUUUUAGUGUUUUCCAGUUUUCAGUGUU